RNAcentral lists this transfer RNA (75 nucleotides) under Actinobaculum sp. oral taxon 183 str. F0552. RNAcentral describes it as "tRNA-Val". It matches the Rfam family "tRNA". Rfam says of the family: Transfer RNA (tRNA) molecules are approximately 80 nucleotides in length. Their secondary structure includes four short double-helical elements and three loops (D, anti-codon, and T loops). Further hydrogen bonds mediate the characteristic L-shaped molecular structure. tRNAs have two regions of fundamental functional importance: the anti-codon, which is responsible for specific mRNA codon recognition, and the 3' end, to which the tRNAs corresponding amino acid is attached (by aminoacyl-tRNA synthetases). tRNAs cope with the degeneracy of the genetic code in two manners: having more than one tRNA (with a specific anti-codon) for a particular amino acid; and 'wobble' base-pairing, i.e. permitting non-standard base-pairing at the 3rd anti-codon position. The record is from RNAcentral. Lineage: Bacteria; Bacillati; Actinomycetota; Actinomycetes; Actinomycetales; Actinomycetaceae.
GGGCGAUUAGCUCAGGGGUAGAGCGCUUCGUUCACACCGAAGAGGUCACUGGUUCGAUCCCAGUAUCGCCCACCG